UGGGGAAUCUUCCGCAAUGGACGAAAGUCUGACGGAGCAACGCUGCGUGUAUGACGAAGGCCUUCGGGUUGUAAAGUACUGUCUUUGGGGACGAACGGUAUCUAUGUAAAUAAUGUAGAUACAUGACGGUACCCAAGGAGGAAGCCCCGGCUAACUACGUGCCAGCAGCCGCGGUAAUACGUAGGGGGCGAGCGUUGUCCGGAAUCAUUGGGCGUAAAGGGCGCGUAGGCGGGUCAUUAAGUCUGGUGUGAAAGGCAGGGGCUCAACCCCUGGAAGGCACCGGAAACUGGUUAUCUUGAGGACAGGAGAGGAAAGCGGAAUUCCACGUGUAGCGGUGAAAUGCGUAGAUAUGUGGAGGAACACCAGUGGCGAAGGCGGCUUUCUGGACUGUAACUGACGCUGAGGCGCGAAAGCGUGGGGAGCAAACAGGAUUAGAUACCCUGGUAGUCCACGCCGUAAACGAUGAGUGCUAGG
RNAcentral lists this ribosomal RNA (474 nucleotides) under uncultured bacterium. Its description in RNAcentral is "partial 16S ribosomal RNA". It matches the Rfam family "Bacterial small subunit ribosomal RNA", at positions 355 to 820 of the family's 1533-position model. The record is from RNAcentral.